RNAcentral lists this unclassified non-coding RNA (734 nucleotides) under Hevea brasiliensis (rubber tree). The record is from RNAcentral. Lineage: Eukaryota; Viridiplantae; Streptophyta; Magnoliopsida; Malpighiales; Euphorbiaceae.
GAAAAACUAAAUAAUAAAAAAAAGAAAUAGUUUGCAAAUAUAAUAUUAAAAUUUUUAUAAAAUUAAAAUUCGAAAUAUGUAACUGUCCAAAUUAUUUCCCUCCUCGACAAACACACGAUCACAUGGACCCCACACGCUAAAGAACAUUAGAAGAAGGCGCUAGACAUUUUCCAGCGCUAGACAUUUUCCAAAGUGCUAACACCAGACUUGUUAUCAUUCUUGACAGCACAAGAAGACUGCAAAAUCUCUGAGUUACAACCACUGUGGUUAUUGUCACGGAGGAAGUAGAAAUAGAAGAGAAACACACUGCUGACAAUAGCAAAUCCAUACAUAGGCACAACAACGAAAAGGCUCAUGAAGGUUGAAAAUUGGUAAGAAAAUCCAAAGAAAAUGGCAGAAGACAAGCCCCAUAUAGUGACUUUCAAGAAUUCCUUCUUGGGUGAUUCCUCCUUUGAAGGCAAACGAUUGUAGAUUACUACGCAGUAGUCCAAUAUAAAAUAACCCAAGUACACAAAAAUUAUAAAGGCUACCAUUGGCAUGUCGUUGUUUAUAUAUGCUCUGUAGAUUGUGGUUAUGCUGUUAAGUGUCAAGUACAAGCAGGAGAUGGAUUGUGCAAAGCUAGAAGUAGAAGAACGAGCCGGGUUUUCACUGUCAUGGUUUGGAGACAUUUCUGAAACUUGUAACGAAGUGUUUUGGUUAUGGUAGUGGAAGAUAUGAGGAUGGUCUGAAAGAGA